UACAGAGGGGGCAAGCGUUAUUCGGAAUUAUUGGGCGUAAAGGGCGCGUAGGCGGCUUGGCAAGUGGAAGGUGAAAUCCCUCGGCUUAACCGAGGAACUGCCUUCCAGACUGCUUUGCUUGAGGCCGGGAGAGGCGAGUGGAAUUCCCAGUGUAGCGGUGAAAUGCGUAGAUAUUGGGAGGAACACCAGUGGCGAAGGCGGCUUCCUGGACCGACACUGACGCUGAGGCGCGAAAGCUAGGGGAGCAAACGGG
RNAcentral lists this ribosomal RNA (253 nucleotides) under uncultured bacterium. RNAcentral describes it as "partial 16S ribosomal RNA". It matches the Rfam family "Bacterial small subunit ribosomal RNA", at positions 524 to 776 of the family's 1533-position model. The record is from RNAcentral.